RNAcentral lists this unclassified non-coding RNA (340 nucleotides) under Hevea brasiliensis (rubber tree). The record is from RNAcentral. Lineage: Eukaryota; Viridiplantae; Streptophyta; Magnoliopsida; Malpighiales; Euphorbiaceae.
CAAGUCUUCAAUCUCAGCCUAUGCCUUCACACCCUCUACAGACGCCUCAGUUGCCGAAGGGACAUUUGAACCCACAAGUGACCCCAAUUUCUGUUCAACAAUCCUCUCAACUUCCAAACAUACCUCCACCUCUUCAUUCUGCUUCACAGCCACCCCCACUUCACCAACCUCAAAUGCCCNCCCCAAAUGCCUACUGUCUCCACUCAGUUGCAACAGCCAUUACGGACAACUGGAAUUGCUCAUCCGCCUUUGCAACCACCAUUGCCUCCCCAAGCUAGACUACCUUCUGUUCCAAGCUUUCAUCAUCAGUGUGGACCACAAAUGGGGCCCAAUGUGGGUU